RNAcentral lists this ribosomal RNA (492 nucleotides) under uncultured bacterium. RNAcentral describes it as "partial 16S ribosomal RNA". It matches the Rfam family "Bacterial small subunit ribosomal RNA", at positions 29 to 507 of the family's 1533-position model. The record is from RNAcentral.
AGUGAACGCUGGCGGUAGGCCUAACACAUGCAAGUCGAACGGCAGCACAGUAAGAGCUUGCUCUUACGGGUGGCGAGUGGCGGACGGGUGAGGAAUACAUCGGAAUCUACUUUUUCGUGGGGGAUAACGUAGGGAAACUUACGCUAAUACCGCAUACGACCUACGGGUGAAAGCAGGGGAUCUUCGGACCUUGCGCGAUUGAAUGAGCCGAUGUCGGAUUAGCUAGUUGGCGGGGUAAAGGCCCACCAAGGCGACGAUCCGUAGCUGGUCUGAGAGGAUGAUCAGCCACACUGGAACUGGGACACGGUCCAGACUACUACGGGAGGCAGCAGUGGGGAAUAUUGGACAAUGGGCGCAAGCCUGAUCCAGCCAUACCGCGUGGGUGAAGAAGGCCUUCGGGUUGUAAAGCCCUUUUGUUGGGAAAGAAAAGCAGCAGGUUAAUACCCCGCUGUUCUGACGGUACCCAAAGAAUAAGCACCGGCUAACUUCGUG